This 305-nucleotide ribosomal RNA is filed under the name uncultured soil bacterium. RNAcentral's name for it is "bacterial SSU rRNA". It matches the Rfam family "Bacterial small subunit ribosomal RNA", at positions 61 to 375 of the family's 1533-position model. The record is from RNAcentral.
GUCAAGGGGGCCCAGCAAUGGGCAACCGGCGAANGGGUGCGUAACACGUGAGCAACCUACCUAGGUGUGGGGGAUAGCCGGCCCAACGGCUGGGUAAUACCGCAUACGCUCUUCUUUAGGCAUUUAGAGGAGAGGAAACCUUCGGGGCACCAUGAGGGGCUCGCGGCCUAUCAGCUAGUUGGCGAGGUAAUGGCUCACCAAGGCGACGACGGGUAGCUGGUCUGAGAGGAUGGCCAGCCACAUUGGGACUGAGAAACGGCCCAGACUCCUACGGGAGGCAGCAGUGGGGAAUCUUGCGCAAUGGC